This is a non-coding RNA of Vicugna pacos (alpaca), 1639 nucleotides long. Lineage: Eukaryota; Metazoa; Chordata; Mammalia; Artiodactyla; Camelidae. The record is from RefSeq and is a predicted model, not a curated record.
GUGCGAGCGAAAUCAGGCAAACGUUUUGGUGAACAAGUCUUGGACCCAUGAGGACACUGGUCCAGAGCGCUGGCCUAGGUUCCACCCCGAGUGUCACCACAGCCUCAGCCGUCAAUUUAAGUAUCGGCUGCAACAACGCUUGGAAACUGUAAGGUGUUGUCCGAGCCGGCGAUGAUCCUCUUAACCCAGACAGAGGCUGGAAGUCCAAGGUGAAGGUGCUGCUGGUUUGGUUCCUGCUGAGAGCUCCCUUCCUGGCUUGCAGACAGUCUCCUCGUAUGUCCUCACAUGGCAGAGAGUGUGAACCUAUAUCCUGAAAAACACAUGAGGAUUGCUGAGAAGGGAACGCUGCAACACAGCCACCAGAAGAUGCCGAGCUGCUGCUGACUUGAGAGAAGCUGGAAGGACCUUAUUUAAUGGAACCCGUACUGAUGUCCACUGUGCAUCUGGGUGCCGGGUAUACGAGGCUGAGAAGCCAGAAGGAGCACGGAAGCGGAAUGGUUUGGGCAGGAGCAGGCCAGCAGCUUCCUUUACAGAAUAGAAGAGUGACAUGCAUAGCGUGGAACCUUGGGAUGUUGCCUGUGGAUCUUCCUGAGAUGAAAAAGUAGAUUUGCAGUUAACACAGAAAACAGAAGGAAGAAAGAGGAAAAUGACGUGGUAUAUCCUAGCUACCACGGAGGAGAGAUUAGCUGUGAACAGGGGAAGCCGAUUUUGUAUCCUGCAUUUAUGGCUCGGGAAACUCUGUUCAUUCUGCCGUGAGGUUCAGCGUUUCUACCUCUUUGGUUGUCUUUGUGAUACACACUCGGUGAAAAGAACCUCAGGUAUUGCUCGUGACAUGGAUUCCACUGAUGUUCUCAGGACUGAGGUUUUUUGAGGCUGUGCCACCCACUCCUGGUGUACAGGCUGCACCCUCAUAAUUUGGAUUUCCCAGAAUUAGGCUCAUUUACAUAUUCAUGCCCAACCAUAUGCCCCCAGUUCUUUAUUCAAGGCAUAUGGCUGCCUUAGAAUGGCACCCCAGGUUCUCACCCCAGGCACUGCCCUCUUCUCUGACUGCACCAGCCUCUGUCUGUACCUCUAAGCCCUUGCAUUUCUGGAUGAAAAGUGAUCCCUUCCCCCAGCUGCUUGUUAAUUGCUCACUCCUCCUUUCAGACUCCAUGUCACCCUUCUGAACUUGUUUCUUAUCUGCAAAACUAGACUGAGUAUCAUCUGUCUUAGUCUGGGCUGUCCUAACAAAAUACUUGGGGGCUUAAACAAUAGAAAUUUAUAUUUUCACAGGUCUGGAGGCUGGAAAGUCCAAGAUCAAGGUUCUGGAUGAUUGGGUUUCUGGUGAGGGCCCUUUUCCUGGCUUGCAGACAGCCACUUCUCUUUCUGUCUUCACCUAGAUUUUCUUCUGUGCUCACUCAAGGAGACAGAGGAGGAGGAGGGAGAGACAGAGAGAGACAAGGAGAGAGAGAAUGAAUAGUGCUUCUCUUGGGUGUCUCUUUUCAUAAGGAUGCUAAUCCUAUUGGAUCGUGGAACCACUUUUUUUUGUUGUUGAAGUAUAGUCAGUUACAAUGCGUCAAUUUCUGGGAUACAGCAUAAUUUCCCAAUCGUGUGUGUGUGUGUGUAUAUAUAUAUCUAUAUAUAUAUUCGUUUUCAUAUU